This 533-nucleotide ribosomal RNA is filed under the name uncultured bacterium. RNAcentral's name for it is "partial 16S ribosomal RNA". It matches the Rfam family "Bacterial small subunit ribosomal RNA", at positions 355 to 899 of the family's 1533-position model. The record is from RNAcentral.
UGGGGAAUAUUGCACAAUGGGCGCAAGCCUGAUGCAGCAACGCCGCGUGAGGGAUGACGGCCUUCGGGUUGUAAACCUCUUUUAGUAGGGAAGAAGCGAAAGUGACGGUACCUGCAGAAAAAGCACCGGCUAACUACGUGCCAGCAGCCGCGGUAAUACGUAGGGUGCGAGCGUUGUCCGGAAUUAUUGGGCGUAAAGAGCUCGUAGGCGGUCUGUCGCGUCUGCUGUGAAAACCCGAGGCUCAACCUCGGGCCUGCAGUGGGUACGGGCAGACUAGAGUGUGGUAGGGGAGAAUGGAAUUCCUGGUGUAGCGGUGGAAUGCGCAGAUAUCAGGAGGAACACCGAUGGCGAAGGCAGUUCUCUGGGCCGUAACUGACGCUGAGGAGCGAAAGCGUGGGGAGCGAACAGGAUUAGAUACCCUGGUAGUCCACGCCGUAAACGUUGGGCGCUAGAUGUGGGGACCAUUCCACGGUUUCCGUGUCGCAGCUAACGCAUUAAGCGCCCGCCUGGGGAGUACGGCCGCAAGGCUAAAA